RNAcentral lists this ribosomal RNA (465 nucleotides) under uncultured bacterium. Its description in RNAcentral is "partial 16S ribosomal RNA". It matches the Rfam family "Bacterial small subunit ribosomal RNA", at positions 28 to 507 of the family's 1533-position model. The record is from RNAcentral.
GACGAACGCUGGCGGCGUGCUUAACACAUGCAAGUCGAACGGAAAGGCCCUGCUUGCAGGGUACUCGAGUGGCGAACGGGUGAGUAACACGUGGGUGAUCUGCCCUGCACUUCGGGAUAAGCCUGGGAAACUGGGUCUAAUACCGGAUAGGAGCCAUUUUUAGUGUGAUGGUUGGAAAGUUUUUUCGGUGUAGGAUGAGCUCGCGGCCUAUCAGCUUGUUGGUGGGGUAAUGGCCUACCAAGGCGGCGACGGGUAGCCGGCCUGAGAGGGUGGACGGCCACAGUGGGACUGAGAUACGGCCCAGACUCCGACGGGAGGCAGCAGGGGGGAAUAUUGCACAAUGGGCGCAAGCCGGAUGCAGCGACGCCGCGUGGGGGAUGACGGCCUUCGGGUUGUAAACUCCUUUCGCUAGGGACGAAGCUUUUUGUGACGGUACCUAGAGAAGAAGCACCGGCUAACUACGUG